RNAcentral lists this ribosomal RNA (311 nucleotides) under uncultured eukaryote. RNAcentral describes it as "partial 18S ribosomal RNA". It matches the Rfam family "Eukaryotic small subunit ribosomal RNA", at positions 1470 to 1796 of the family's 1831-position model. The record is from RNAcentral.
CCCCUAGACGUUCUGGGCUGCACGCGCGCUACAAUAAUACGCACAGCGAGUAUCACCGAGCUCGAAAGGGCAAGGUAAACAAUAGAAAGGGUACUGUAAUGGUUAUAGAUCCUUGUAAUUAUUGAUCUUCAACGAGGAAUUCCUAGUAAGUAUGUGUCAUCAUCACGCACUGAUUACGUCCCUGCCCUUUGUACACACCGCCCGUCGCUCCUACCGAUUGGGUGAGCCGAUGAAACUCUCGGAUGUAGGCUAUUCAUAGCCCGCAGAAGAGAUUUGAAUCGUAGCGCUUAGAGGAAGGAGAAGUCGUAACA